This 488-nucleotide ribosomal RNA is filed under the name uncultured bacterium. RNAcentral's name for it is "partial 16S ribosomal RNA". It matches the Rfam family "Bacterial small subunit ribosomal RNA", at positions 28 to 507 of the family's 1533-position model. The record is from RNAcentral.
GACGAACGCUGGCGGCGUGCUUAACACAUGCAAGUCGAACGCGCCUGUCCUCUGGGUUUCUGGGGGGUGGGUGAGUGGCGAACGGGUGGGUAACACGUGAGUAACCUGCCCCCUUCUUCGGGAUAACGGUCUGAAAGGGCUGCUAAUACCGGGUAUUCACUGGUCUCCGCAUGGGGUCUGGUGGAAAGGUUUUUUUCUGGUGGGGGAUGGGCUCGCGGCCUAUCAGCUUGUUGGUGGGGUGAUGGCCCACCAAGGCUUUGACGGGUAGCCGGCCUGAGAGGGUGACCGGUCACAUUGGGACUGAGAUACGGCCCAGACUCCUACGGGAGGCAGCAGUGGGGAAUAUUGCACAAUGGGCGCAAGCCUGAUGCAGCGACGCCGCGUGAGGGAUGGAGGCCUUCGGGUUGUGAACCUCUUUCGCCCGUGGUCAAGCCGCGACGUGGGUCGUGGUGAGGGUAGUGGGUAAAGAAGCGCCGGCUAACUACGUG